This 253-nucleotide ribosomal RNA is filed under the name uncultured bacterium. RNAcentral's name for it is "partial 16S ribosomal RNA". It matches the Rfam family "Bacterial small subunit ribosomal RNA", at positions 524 to 776 of the family's 1533-position model. The record is from RNAcentral.
UACGAAGGGGGCUAGCGUUGCUCGGAAUCACUGGGCGUAAAGGGUGCGUAGGCGGGUCUUUAAGUCAGGGGUGAAAUCCUGGAGCUCAACUCCAGAACUGCCUUUGAUACUGAAGAUCUUGAGUCCGGGAGAGGUGAGUGGAACUGCGAGUGUAGAGGUGAAAUUCGUAGAUAUUCGCAAGAACACCAGUGGCGAAGGCGGCUUACUGGCCCGGUACUGACGCUGAGGCACGAAAGCGUGGGGAGCAAACAGG